CUUUGGUGAAUAUGAUAUUCAUACUAUCUAAUUCUUGGAGGACAGCCAGUAAUAUAUAAUUUUGGCGCCUGCGUGUUUUAUAUACAUUUGUAUUACAAACAAACAGACAAAACGCAAUUGACCUAUGUAUGGAAGUAUUAUUAUUUGUUAGAUUUGGUAAUAUGCCCUCCCAUGAUCUGAUCUAAUGAAGGGUCUUUAUAUGUAGUUG
This 208-nucleotide long non-coding RNA is filed under the name Mytilus galloprovincialis (Mediterranean mussel). The record is from RNAcentral. Lineage: Eukaryota; Metazoa; Mollusca; Bivalvia; Mytilida; Mytilidae.